This 315-nucleotide long non-coding RNA is filed under the name Salvia miltiorrhiza (redroot sage). RNAcentral describes it as "long non-coding RNA (SMIL_LNC013571)". The record is from RNAcentral. Lineage: Eukaryota; Viridiplantae; Streptophyta; Magnoliopsida; Lamiales; Lamiaceae.
AAAAAAAAGUGCAAAGAAAAUAAAGGGCCUAUUGUGUAUACAUUCAUUCAUGUUUAUGCCCUAUAUGUAUAUGUUAGAGUUGAUGCAUACUUUUUGAGGAUUGUGGAUAUCUUGAGGAGCUACUCUAGAGUUUUAUUGAUGGAAGGUCUGGUGUGUUUGCAUGUUUUCAGUCAUAUAUUGAGCCUCUUUGAUCCCUUUUUCUUGUUUAUCCCACCAAUACGUACCCUAGCCCCAUUACAACCAAAUUGCAAGACCUUUUGAUUUGUGCAUUGGUUCCAUAUUUUGGUGGAGAUAGUGACAUAAGGGCAAGCUGUG